GGAGAGGUGGCCGAGUGGUCGAAGGCGCUCCCCUGCUAAGGGAGUAGGCCCGGAAGGGUCUCGAGGGUUCGAAUCCCUUCCUCUCCGCCA
RNAcentral lists this transfer RNA (90 nucleotides) under Roseibium album. RNAcentral's name for it is "Labrenzia alba tRNA-Ser". It matches the Rfam family "tRNA". Rfam says of the family: Transfer RNA (tRNA) molecules are approximately 80 nucleotides in length. Their secondary structure includes four short double-helical elements and three loops (D, anti-codon, and T loops). Lineage: Bacteria; Pseudomonadati; Pseudomonadota; Alphaproteobacteria; Hyphomicrobiales; Stappiaceae. RNAcentral also lists the same sequence under 12 other names. The record is from RNAcentral.